GUGUCAGCAGCCGCGGUAAUACGAGUGGUGCGAGCGUUAAUCGGAAUUACUGGGCUUAAAGGGUGCGCAGGCGGGUCCGCAAGCAUUCUGUGAAAUCCCCCGGCUCAACCGGGGAACUGCAGGGUGGACUGCGGGUCUUGAGAAAGGUAGGGGCCGACGGAACGAUCGGUGGAGCGGUGAAAUGCGUAGAUAUCGAUCGGAACGCCAAUGGUGAAGACAGUCGGCUGGGCCUUUUCUGACGCUCAUGCACGAAAGCGUGGGGAGCAAACAGGAUUAGAUACCCUGGUAGUCC
RNAcentral lists this ribosomal RNA (292 nucleotides) under uncultured bacterium. Its description in RNAcentral is "partial 16S ribosomal RNA". It matches the Rfam family "Bacterial small subunit ribosomal RNA", at positions 505 to 796 of the family's 1533-position model. The record is from RNAcentral.